Passer montanus (Eurasian tree sparrow) is the source of this 334-nucleotide long non-coding RNA. RefSeq lists it as uncharacterized. The record is from RefSeq and is a predicted model, not a curated record. The transcript has 3 exons. Lineage: Eukaryota; Metazoa; Chordata; Aves; Passeriformes; Passeridae.
AAAAAUACACGCAUGGAAAUGCUGAAGUUGGUUCUGUCUCUGCUGUCUAUGAAGAUGCUGUGUUAGUGUUGCAAAGCACCACGAAUUAUAAUCCCACCACUGAGCAUCCUUCUGAAUGCUGUGUCCUGAAAGAAAUACUGCAGCUGAUUUAAAAUACAGGAGGAAAUCCAAGCACAAGUACUAAUCGUGGAGCAUUAGGAUUUGAGAGAACAUAUGUUCAGAAUCAGGUGUAUACAUAGGAGUUGGCAUCAGUGGCUAGGAAGGAAUGGAAGCAGCCUUGGCCAAUGACUGACAGCCCAGCUCAAAUACCUCCAGGGGAUCUUGGAGAUUCCAG